UUCACAAUUAACUAUCUUUCUGUCAAACAUUGUCACCUUACCGCAGCUUACGAAAGCAUCUCAGAAAUGCAGCUUUCAUCUGACCUACAUAUCGGUUGCUCUUUUAUGUUCCCACUUGGCACACGCAGCGCUCUGCUGCAUAGAGGGAGGAUCCCUACGCUGCUGUUGUAUCAGUGCGCUGUGAUUAACAAGCAGCUUAAGCGCAACACAGAUACUAUACAGCAAAGCAAAAUUAUGUAUAACACUCAAUGCUAUUUAUGCAUCCCUUCUUUAGGCAAGGAACUCGGGAGUGACUUAAUUUAUCGUCAUUGAUCUCCUUUUCCCAGCGAUCUUCGCUUUCCCUCACACCGCACGUUUCUGCACCACCCCCCUGGCUGCACCCCCACACAAGGCUUCUGGCACAGAGCUCCGUGAAGCAGCGUCAGCGUUACAUCAGCUGGGAAUCUCCUCUGCCACACGCAGCAGAGACCGAGCGCAGGGCUGCCUGCCUUCAGCAGCUCUUUUUGCUCAGGAAAGCUGCGGCUCUUCCUCCCAAACAAACAGUAACGCCAAAAGACGCUCGAAAUCAAACCAAACCAAUUAUAUACUCAUCAACAAAACGCGAAAUUAUCCGUGUUACCACCCGCCAGCCGCAGGCGCACAAAUACGAAAUGCGCAGUCACCGAUAUUCCGACACGGUUGCUCUGUGCCGCCAUCUACAGAUCGAAUCGGAAUAAUAAAAUUAAAUCUAACUUUCGGAUACACGUGUGAUACAGUCUGAACAAACCCAAGUGGAACAUCGACACCUCGGACGCGCGGCGCACCGCGCAGCUCAGCGAGACCCGUGCCGACACCCGCGUGCUCCUCACGCACAAACCGCCGCUCCUCACAGCCUGCGGGAUGACUCACGUGAGACACGGCAGCACGACCGCACCGAGGAGCUCUCAGCCCGCGGACACACAGCAGCCUGCGUGUGAAGGCUGGAAUCUACCUAACCUUAGAACCGACUGUGACCCCUGAAACGCGAACAGCGCUGUACCGCUUUGCCGUGAAACACGCUGGGCUUCGAGAGCCGUGCGAGCAGCAGAGCGGAGCGCCGCCCCGUGGCAGAACGCGCUACGACGAGCCUCGCGCCCCUCCGCCUCAACGGUCUGCGCGCGACAGGCGGGAACCGCCCCUCCCGAGGCGCGGCUGCGGCCGCACCCCAGGCUCCGCUCCCGGUCCGACUUUUGCAGCCGCGGCGUCAGCUCGCGCCAGAACCACAAGCGGCACGGGGCCCACGCGCGCGGUCACCCAGCAGCCUCCCAGCAGACAGGGAGAUUGGCUGAUGCUGUUUCUGUCAUCCAGCAGCGGCGUGGCGUGGACAGAUCAGCACCUUUCUGAUGGUCCUGCUAAUAAGCUACAGGAGAAGCUAGUCUGAAGAACUCCCGUAUCCUUUCCUGCAAGACCGAGGCGUAUUUAGCAAUUCUGAGCAAAACACACCGAAUGCUUGUGGCUACAGCUGCAAGAGCUGUGCUUGUAAACAUGCAGCUUGUCAUGUAUUGUGCAUCUUGUGCAAAGCAGGUUAAAAACAACUGAUCUUCAGUGACAGGCAAAACUAAUACGGUUAAGGUAAAGAAGCAAACUUGGAGAUGGUUACCACUUUCGAGGAGAUGCACACGAGUUAACGUGCAGAUGAUCCGCCUCGUUUCCAUUUACAGGAGUGAGAGUGAACAUGAGAAAAUACAGAUGUUAGAAUUGGAACAUGACACAGCCGGGCUGGUUGCCGAGGAAAGGCAGCACAGCAGCCAGAUACUAGAAAAAAUGGAUGAACAUCUGAAGAAAUGUAAAGCAGCAGCAGAAAGUAAACUGAAAAAGUCCGUUACAGAAUCAGAACAGUGUCUCUAUUUUACACUGUGCUGGAGAAACUUGUGUUUAUUACCCUCCUAGAAGAGGAGCAUCUUCAAGAGAGCAUUAUGGUGAACACCUAUCCAUUAGCACGGGAAAAAGAUUUGAAUAAAUGUUUGCCAUUUCCCUCUUUCUCCCACAGCUCAAGAAUUAGAACACAGCUUGCAUUUAACUGUUCUCCCUGCAAUUUUAACUGCUGCUACCUUCCCCUGAUCACAAGCUGGAAGAAGCUCACUGCUGGUUCAAACCAAUGUUUGACAGCCUGCAGCUAUAACUUGUGAAAAACCACCAGCCACUGAAUCUGGAUGAGAGCAUCUCCAAGAAGGUGUUCAAGAAAACACAUUCAAUUUCAAAGGGAGAACAAAGAAAACAAACUAGGUAAAAUACUUGAGACCUCAUGAUCACUCAGAAUUUCAGUUACUUAAACUUUAUUCCAUCCCUUCAACAAAUAUGGAGAGCAGACUCCUUCCAAUUCUAACAGCAAAAAAAAAAUAUGUACAAUAUAGCUUCAAAAUACUGUCUCUACACUUAGAAAAGUAACACUGCACGUACUCCAUGUUUCAUUAAUGCUCAUAAAUCAAGUUUUUGACUGAAAA
This is a non-coding RNA of Phasianus colchicus (ring-necked pheasant), 2462 nucleotides long. The record is from RefSeq and is a predicted model, not a curated record. Lineage: Eukaryota; Metazoa; Chordata; Aves; Galliformes; Phasianidae.